CUUUAAAUUUUAUUCCAAGUCCUGAGUGCUGUGGUGACCCUAGGGUUCCUUCACUGCUUUGAACAUUUUGUCCCACAAAUCUCGUUUGCACGCCAUAGGCAACCCAAAGGAUCUCGAGCACUGGCAGCCCAGCAGAAAUGCUGCUGUCCCUCGAGGGAGCUGCAGCAGUGCCGGUGCAAAGGAAGGAGGUCUGGCAUCACCCAGGUCUGGCCUUGCAGAAGACUCAGCAAGGCUUCUGCAGUGCUAAAAGCCGUGGGACUUCAGCCCUUAGUCUCUUUCAACGUUUGUCAUGAAAACACAAGUCUGGUGUUUUAAAAUACAUAAAACCUAGCCUUGCUUGACUUGCAUUAGCAGAACACGUGAAACAGGCCAGUGGCCGUCCUGGAGAGUCAACGCUGGAUUUACGGAACAGCCAUGGGUGGAGGUGCUGAGAUCCCAUUAAAUCUCCCAUUAAUUGAUAGGAGAUAAAACUCAUAGUAAAGGAUCUUUGGAAAGAGCUGGUGGUGGGAAGAAAUAAAGCUGGUUCCCUGUUACCCAGCCACUCUUGGAGUAAAACAAUCUACCGUUAUUUUCUAUCACGUUACCAGCAGAGCUAACUUUAGCUGCAAAACAAGAGCCUUGAGCGACUGCAGCUGGGCAAGCCCUAAAGCGGUGUGGUUUGCUGGUACAUCUGUCCUGCCGUCCCUCCUCAGAGCGACUGCUGCUUGCUCACUUUCCAAUGAGAGACACAAGCAGAAACUUGUGGAUCCUUCUCUGGUCCUCAGCCAUGCUGUAGUUACUGCAUGUAACUGCAGCAUCUGCCUCCCGCAGAGUUCUCCAGUCUCUCCUGGUAGUCACGAUCCGACCCCUGUCACAGAAAGCCCACGUGCGACUGGGAGAGUAUUCAUCAAAAUCCUCACUGGCAUUUGUGUAGUGGCAAGAUGA
RNAcentral lists this long non-coding RNA (924 nucleotides) under Anser brachyrhynchus (Pink-footed goose). RNAcentral describes it as "lncRNA (ENSABRG00000019153.1)". The record is from RNAcentral. Lineage: Eukaryota; Metazoa; Chordata; Aves; Anseriformes; Anatidae.